RNAcentral lists this transfer RNA (103 nucleotides) under Candidatus Woesearchaeota archaeon. RNAcentral's name for it is "tRNA-Cys". Lineage: Archaea; Nanobdellati; Candidatus Woesearchaeota. The record is from RNAcentral.
GGGGACGUGGCCAAGCGGCUAAGGCAAGAGGCUGCAACCCUCUGAUCCUGGGUUCGAGUUGGAGCAUCUGAAACUCUGUUUCACGAAAUUCCCAGCGUCCCCU